RNAcentral lists this ribosomal RNA (440 nucleotides) under uncultured bacterium. RNAcentral's name for it is "partial 16S ribosomal RNA". It matches the Rfam family "Bacterial small subunit ribosomal RNA", at positions 338 to 795 of the family's 1533-position model. The record is from RNAcentral.
CCUACGGGAGGCAGCAGUGGGGAAUAUUGCACAAUGGGGGAAACCCUGAUGCAGCGACGCCGCGUGAAGGAUGAAGUAUUUCGGUAUGUAAACUUCUAUCAGCAGGGAAGAAAAUGACGGUACCUGACUAAGAAGCCCCGGCUAACUACGUGCCAGCAGCCGCGGUAAUACGUAGGGGGCAAGCGUUAUCCGGAUUUACUGGGUGUAAAGGGAGCGUAGACGGGAUAGCAAGUCUGAUGUGAAAGCCCGGGGCUCAACCCCGGGACUGCAUUGGAAACUGUGAAGCUAGAGUAUCGGAGAGGCAGGUGGAAUUCCUGGUGUAGCGGUGAAAUGCGUAGAGAUCAAGAGGAACACCAGUGGCGAAGGCGGCCUGCUGGACGAUAACUGACGUUGAGGCUCGAAAGCGUGGGGAGCAAACAGGAUUAGAUACCCUUGUAGUC